GACAGAGGGUGCAAACGUUGUUCGGAAUUACUGGGCGUAAAGCGCGUGUAGGCUGCUCAGAAAGUCGGAUGUGAAAGCCCUGGGCUUAACCUAGGAAGUGCAUUCGAAACUUCUGAGCUUGAGUUCUGGAGAGGAAGGCGGAAUUCUCGGUGUAGAGGUGAAAUUCGUAGAUAUCGAGAGGAACACCGGUGGCGAAGGCGGCCUUCUGGACAGUGACUGACGCUGAGACGCUAAAGCGUGGGGAGCAAUCAGG
This 253-nucleotide ribosomal RNA is filed under the name uncultured bacterium. Its description in RNAcentral is "partial 16S ribosomal RNA". It matches the Rfam family "Bacterial small subunit ribosomal RNA", at positions 524 to 776 of the family's 1533-position model. The record is from RNAcentral.